RNAcentral lists this ribosomal RNA (253 nucleotides) under uncultured bacterium. Its description in RNAcentral is "partial 16S ribosomal RNA". It matches the Rfam family "Bacterial small subunit ribosomal RNA", at positions 524 to 776 of the family's 1533-position model. The record is from RNAcentral.
CACGUAGGUCGCGAGCGUUGUCCGGAAUUAUUGGUCGGAAAGAGCUCGUAGGCGGCCUGUUGCGUCCGCUGUGAAAGCCCGGGGCUUAACCCCGGGUCGGCAGUGGAUACGGGCAGGCUAGAGGUAGGUAGGGGAGAAUGGAAUUCCCGGUGUAGCGGUGAAAUGCGCAGAUAUCGGGAGGAACACCGGUGGCGAAGGCGGUUCUCUGGGCCUUACCUGACGCUGAGGAGCGACAGCGUGGGGAGCAAACAGG